RNAcentral lists this ribosomal RNA (274 nucleotides) under uncultured bacterium. RNAcentral's name for it is "partial 16S ribosomal RNA". It matches the Rfam family "Bacterial small subunit ribosomal RNA", at positions 85 to 354 of the family's 1533-position model. The record is from RNAcentral.
CUGCCGGCGACCGGCGCACGGGUGAGUAACACGUAUGCAACCUGCCCUCCGCAGGGGGAUAACCCGGAGAAAUCCGGACUAAUACCGCGUGGUACACCAGUGGGGCAUCCCACGGGUGUUAAAAGGAAGUGAUUCCGGCGGAGGAUGGGCAUGCGGCGCAUUAGCUUGUUGGCGGGGUAACGGCCCACCAAGGCGACGAUGCGUAGGGGUUCUGAGAGGAAGGUCCCCCACACUGGUACUGAGACACGGACCAGACUCCUACGGAAGGCAGCAG